UACGAAGGGGGCUAGCGUUGUUCGGAAUCACUGGGCGUAAAGCGCACGUAGGCGGAUCUUUAAGUCAGGGGUGAAAUCCCGAGGCUCAACCUCGGAACUGCCUUUGAUACUGGGGAUCUCGAGUCCGGGAGAGGUGAGUGGAACUGCGAGUGUAGAGGUGAAAUUCGUAGAUAUUCGCAAGAACACCAGUGGCGAAGGCGGCUCACUGGCCCGGAACUGACGCUGAGGAGCGAAAGCGUGGGGAGCAAACAGG
RNAcentral lists this ribosomal RNA (253 nucleotides) under uncultured bacterium. RNAcentral describes it as "partial 16S ribosomal RNA". It matches the Rfam family "Bacterial small subunit ribosomal RNA", at positions 524 to 776 of the family's 1533-position model. The record is from RNAcentral.